UGAGGAAUAUUGGUCAAUGGACGAGAGUCUGAACCAGCCAAGUAGCGUGCAGGAAGACGGCCCUAUGGGUUGUAAACUGCUUUUAUAAGGGAAUAAAGUGAGUCUCGUGAGACUUUUUGCAUGUACCUUAUGAAUAAGGACCGGCUAAUUCCGUGCCAGCAGCCGCGGUAAUACGGAAGGUCCGGGCGUUAUCCGGAUUUAUUGGGUUUAAAGGGAGCGUAGGCGGACGAUUAAGUCAGCGGUAAAAUAGAGUGGCUCAACCAUUCUCCGCCGUUGAUACUGGUUGUCUUGAGUUCACACAAGGAAGAUGGAAUUCGUGGUGUAGCGGUGAAAUGCUUAGAUAUCACGAAGAACUCCGAUUGCGAAGGCAGCUCACUGGAGCGCAACUGACGCUGAAGCU
RNAcentral lists this ribosomal RNA (400 nucleotides) under uncultured bacterium. RNAcentral's name for it is "bacterial SSU rRNA". It matches the Rfam family "Bacterial small subunit ribosomal RNA", at positions 355 to 753 of the family's 1533-position model. The record is from RNAcentral.